Molecule: long non-coding RNA, 1954 nt
Organism: Lycium barbarum (goji berry)
Lineage: Eukaryota; Viridiplantae; Streptophyta; Magnoliopsida; Solanales; Solanaceae
Exons: 5
Source: RefSeq, a predicted model, not a curated record
UAAGCAUUCACUUGCCAAAUGAAGAGAUGUGAAUUAUUAUAUUAGCCAAAUCUUUACCUGGUAAAAAGAAUUGAGUACCAGAAAGGGUGUCACUGUGUAAAACCAAAAUCUCACUUCCACGAAUUUGAUUGCACUUGUGGUAGACACAAUAUAAAUACAACUAUUGCUUAGGAGUCUCAAUGGUGUAUCUGACCCAAGUCCAUCUUUGUGUUCCGCAGAGAAGAGAUCGAGAUACACAAACAAGUGAAAGGAGAAGUGCUUUAACGGCUGGUUUACUAUUAAGGGGAUCCACAUAGCUGAUGAGGUUCAACUUUGAAAGGAGAAGUGCUUCAGAUAGGUUGAUCUAUUUUGUGAAAUUUGUUUUAACUUUUUUAGUGACAGUUACUGAAGCAGAAAAUAUCUAUUCCAGGGCGAGCUUCCUAGCAAAUUGAAAACAAAGAAAUCAAAUAUUUCGUGGUCAGGCACUGCUUGGACCUGCUCCAACAAACUUAAGCAUUAUCCUUCCUUUUGCCGAAAUGGAACUACAAUAACUGUUAAUUCCUUUGCUACGGUCAUGGCCAAAGAAGAAAGUCACUACCUAGGUCACUUGGAAGAUUUCUAUGAGAACAAGAAGGGACAGAAAAAAGUUAGAAUGCAGUGGUUUCAAUAUUUUCAGGAAGUCUAGUGUGUAAUUCCUCAACUCAAUGGACACCCUCGAGAGGUAUUUAUCACGUCUCAUGUUCAGGUGAUCCAUGCCGAGUGUAUCGAUGAUCCUGCUACAGUUUUGACUCCUAGAGAUAACGAGAAAUAUAUCUCUCUUGUCCCGAAAAGUUUGUCCUCUGGUGUCUAUAUGUGCUUUAGGGAAUUCAGAAACAACAAGGUCAUGCCAUUCUCUCUGGGUAAACUGGAUGGGAACUGAAAUCAAACGACAUUUACCAUGUUACGCAGUCAACAAAAGUCAAAGGGUCAUAAGUUGCAUGAAGUAAGAGAUAUAACCUGUGAAGAUCCUUCAAGGCAAGGGCCUAGUAGGAGUAGAAGUGCCAGGAAGGAUCCGAAACUGGAGAGUCAGAUAAAGCCGAACCAACUUGCCUUAAGUUAAAAAUAAAAUUGCCAAGCAGAGGACCGGUUGGAAUUCAGCUUGUUGAGCCUCAAUGUAAGCAGUCUUUUGAAGUUGGUGACAACUUAGAUGUUCUUAGCCAGGAUAGUGGCAUGAGAGGCUGCUGGUUCAGGUGUAAGGUCUUACAGGUAUCACAAAAACGUCUGAAAAUUCAACACAACGACAUCCUGGAUUGUGAUGAUCCUAAGAAGCUCGAGUUGCAGCGUCUGAUAAAUUGGGCAUGAGAUACACAGGACGCCUCACGGUUCGGCCUCGGCCUCCUGAGGGUUCUUCUGACCAUUCUUUUGAAGUAGGAGCUGCAGUUGAUGCUUGGUGGUCUGACGGGUGGUGGGAAGGUGUUGUUGCUGGUUUUAAUGUCCGUCAAAGCAGUCAUCUUCAGGUUUACUUCCCUGGUGAGAACAGAUUGUUGGAGAUUCAAAGGAAGAACGUGAAGAUUUCAAGAGAUUGGAUAGAUAACAAAUGGAUUGAAGUUGAGGGAAAGAAAGACAUAAAGUCGUUCAUAAGCUCGAGUUUACCUGACGUAUCCAAGUGCAGUAUCAAAGAAUCCGGGAACCGCAAAAAUCAGAUAGCUCCCAAGCUUGUGGCACCUGAAGACAAAAAAUGGCGGGACUUCUAAACACUCAGCGGAGAAGCAAGAUACUGAUGUGCUUAAACUGAAAAAGCGAUGGUGUAAUGAUUUUCUUGAAGGUAGGAGGUGUAAUGAUUUUCUUGAAGGUAGGAAGAACUGAUUUCGGACAAUUCUAGAGGUGACAAUGUUGGCGUCUAGGAGUCGGCAACUUUUUUGAUAAUGGUGAAAAUGCUUUUGGCAUUGUGGGUAAAUAUUUUGACUUAUAAGUAUGUCACGACCCAACCCCGUAG